This is a long non-coding RNA of Polyodon spathula (Mississippi paddlefish), 2597 nucleotides long. RefSeq lists it as uncharacterized. The transcript is spliced from 3 exons. NCBI's taxonomy places the organism in Eukaryota, Metazoa, Chordata, Actinopteri, Acipenseriformes, Polyodontidae. The record is from RefSeq and is a predicted model, not a curated record.
AAACAAUAAUAACAAUAAAUUAUAGUACAAAUAAUAAUGCAAUGCCCAAAUACGAACACAGAAUAUAGGGGGCAGGCAACCUGUCACAUUUGCCCUACGGCCACCUACCCCCAUAAAGUCCCAAAUGUCUUUGUUAAACUGAUGAGUUGGGGAUGGAGGCUGUCUUGGGCCCACAAGCAACAAUAGUCUGGUGACCCCGGGUAGUGGCAAUCCACUAAUGAUCCCAGGCAAAGGCAGGCCAGCAACAUCACGGAACACUGAUGCAAGGCAGGCAGCAACUACGGGCGAUGGUGCGGAGCUGGCGGCACCCCAAAGCAGUGGGCAUAGGCAGCAUCCCCAGGCAGUGGCGCGCAGACGGCAUCCCCAGGUGAUGCAGAGCCGGCGACCCCAGGCUAUCCGUCCUCGGUCAGCAGUGGAGAGAGGUGACGUUGGAGUUGGCCCUUUCAGGUUUUGGCAGAACCUAGCAUUUCUCGGUUAGUGCAUCACCUCCCUGGUUCUUCUCUAAGGGUGGAGGGAUAGGCAGCUCUGACAUCUCUCCUUCUGGUGGUGGAGGCAGAAACUGUUUUCUCACCUCUCCUACUGGUAGCUCCUACGCUACUCCCUCUGAGGGUGAUGACCAAGACAGCAGGGUGCCAUAACCUGGUGAUGCCAACAUAGACAACAAGACGUUCUUUCCGAACAUUGGGAACCUCAUGACGUCCUUCCCAUGCGACAGCGACAGGAACCUCAAGACUUCUUCCCCAGGCACUGGCAGUGUAACCUUCAGGACCUCUCUCUCGGCCAAUGAUUGGCCCAGCAACCGGUCUCCUCCUGGCGGUGAAGACAAGAAUAACUGGCAGUCUCCACCGGGCAGUGGAUACAGGCACGGCAGGCAGUCUUCACCUGCCAGCGGACACAGGCAUGGCAGGCAGUCUUCACCUGCCGAUAGCGAUAAACACAGCAGACAGCUUUCCCUCAGUGCUGGAGACUGCUGGGCUUUUCCCUCAGGCACUGGAGACUGGGGUGGUUCCUUCUUCAGCACUGGAUGCUGAGGCUUUUUCCCUCCUGGGCACUGGUUGCACUGGUCCUCUCCUCUGGGCACAGUGGCACCACAGACACUUUCCCUCUGGGCACUGGACUCAUUAGCUCCUUCCUUGUGGGCACUGGACACACUGGCUCCUUCUUCGGGCGUGGCAACUCGGGCUUCCUCUUCUUGAACACUGGACACUUGGGCUCAUCCCUCGUGGGCUCUGUAGUAAGCACGGCACCGCCCGAUAAAACUGGAAAUGGUGGAGCCCCUCCCAUGUCUGCAGCCAGGUAAUUAAACAGCAUGGCUGCAAUGUCCUGGAAGGACUCUGGGUGGUGCUGCUUCUCCCAAGCUUCCCACCAUUUACCAUCUCGAGCUCACAGGACAUUAAUCGCCACUGGGAGGUCCCUCUUCAUGUCCGCCUCUAGUUCCACCAGCCAAUCCCAAAUCUGUCGUGAGGUCAGCUGCUCUGGCAGCACCGGUGGCACUUUUCCCUGCGCUGGGGCUACACCUUCUGGCCGGGUGCUGCAUCUAGUGAGACGUGUCAGGGCUCACCCUUCAGGCAAACCCAGCAAACUUCACCCUGUUGCUGCUGCUUCUGCUGCUGCUUUCAUCCCGUUAUUCUUCAAAAGCAAAACUCAUUAGUUUAAAAAGAAACACCUGCGACUUUCAGUUUUGUUCUGUUCUCCCCCAAGAAUGUUUGUUUAUUUACCAAAUACUAACAACGCAUCAAGAUACUACCAAAUUGAUGAUACAAUUAAAACAAUAAAGCCUUUCAUAAAUUAAAAGAUUUCCUUCUAGGGUAGUGGUUCUCAAACUUUUUGGACCUCGCCCCCUCUUCCUAUUGUCUGUGGUACUUACUGUAAUUAAUUAUUUGUUUGGUUCUACUGGAAAGAGUGGUACCCACAAAACCGAACACGUCCUCAUGUUAAUACUUAUCAAAAUACUGUCACAGGUUACAUUUAUAGAUGUGUGGGGAAAAAAAAGUUCUGACAAAGUUUCGUGGCAACUAGGCUUGUUUCAAGUGUAUCCCACGUGAAUUAUUAAAGGUCUUUUCACAUUAUGGCACAAAUAAAAAAGUCUGUUUGUAUUUUGGAAUACUCUGCCUCUAUCUCUCUGUGUUCUGUCAAAGAUGUUGUUUGGUUCUGUUGUCUUGAGUAACAAUCACAACUUCCUGUUGCUGUUGUCGGUGCCUGUUUGACGCUGACAAUGGGGGUGUCGCCCAUGAGUGUACAUGGCAAACGUGAGCCAUCUCAGGGACCGCUGUGUUGACAGUAGACUCUGGAGCAGGCUGCUUUUAGGACAGCUGAACCUGGGACUGCUGCGUUUACACCAGAAAAAAAGACCUAUGCCAUCUCAGAGUCAGCUUUAAAGUGGCUGGUGUAAACAGAGAUUUUGGAGUAUUCUACAGAUGGGGAAGGUAUAGCGAGCAGGUCCCUGACUGCUGUUAGUUCACCCCGGAAGAUUCUGCCAAAAAGAAGCAUUACAGGAUGAAGACAUUUGCUGCAGUCGAGGAGCAGACAACAUCUGAAGAGUCUCGUCUAUUAUUCAACCCCUCAUCACCUUCACCUGUGACUAUCAAAGAAAUAGA